RNAcentral lists this transfer RNA (76 nucleotides) under Candidatus Peregrinibacteria bacterium CG10_big_fil_rev_8_21_14_0_10_49_10. RNAcentral describes it as "tRNA-Thr". It matches the Rfam family "tRNA". Rfam says of the family: Transfer RNA (tRNA) molecules are approximately 80 nucleotides in length. Their secondary structure includes four short double-helical elements and three loops (D, anti-codon, and T loops). The record is from RNAcentral. Lineage: Bacteria; Candidatus Peregrinibacteriota.
GCCGCCUUAGCUCAGCUGGUAGAGCAACCGCCUUGUAAGCGGUGGGUCCGGGGUUCGAGUCCCCGAGGCGGCUCCA